Long non-coding RNA from Molossus molossus (Pallas's mastiff bat), 540 nucleotides. RefSeq lists it as uncharacterized. The record is from RefSeq and is a predicted model, not a curated record. The transcript is spliced from 3 exons. Lineage: Eukaryota; Metazoa; Chordata; Mammalia; Chiroptera; Molossidae.
AUUUCUUAAAUUAUAAGACUUAAGUCAAAAUAAUUACUGGAUCCAUGGGCUGCGGAAUGGAUGUUGCAUGAGCAGGAAUCAAACCAACGUGAUCUUGUACAUCUUCAUCAGAACUCUUGGAUCUCUUUAUCAGCUUCCUGGGACAUAAAUUAAAGAAUUAAGCAUGUGAGUUGUAUUUUUUCCUGCCAAAAUGGAGUCUUCUCCCAAAUUCACAUGGAAACAAAUUGCAGAAGCUCCCCCAGGCAGGAUGAGGAUCCAUCUAAGAAAGCAGCUGAAUCUCCCCUACCCCCCAAGGUAUGAAGACCAGUAGAAACACCUGCACUUCAAUUAAAGGGCUCAGUGAAGGCCAGGACCCAUACAAUACAGGCAAGUGAGGAGAUAAUGAUUUUAAGACUGCAGAUACCGGAGGCUUCUAUAUGUCAGAGAUUUAAAGACAACAGUGACAGCCCCAAUUCUGAAGGAACUGACAUUCUAGUAGAAGAAACAAACUUUUAACAAAUAAUUAAAGUGCAUGAAGUAAGUAUGCCAAGUUAUUUUAGA